RNAcentral lists this ribosomal RNA (479 nucleotides) under uncultured bacterium. RNAcentral describes it as "partial 16S ribosomal RNA". It matches the Rfam family "Bacterial small subunit ribosomal RNA", at positions 28 to 523 of the family's 1533-position model. The record is from RNAcentral.
GACGAACGCUGGCGGCGUGCUUAACACAUGCAAGUCGAGCGAUGAAGCACCUUCGGGUGUGAAUUAGCGGCGAACGGGUGAGGAACACGUGAGAAAUCUGCCUUCAACUCUGGGAUAACUCCGGGAAACCGGGGCUAAUACCGGAUAUGAGCCUUGAUCGCAUGAUCGGGGCUGGAAAGUUUUUCGGUUGAAGAUGAUCUCGCGGCCUAUCAGCUUGUUGGUGAGGUAAUGGCUCACCAAGGCGACGACGGGUAGCCGGCCUGAGAGGGCGACCGGCCACACUGGGACUGAGACACGGCCCAGACUCCUACGGGAGGCAGCAGUGGGGAAUAUUGGGCAAUGGAGGAAACUCUGACCCAGCGACGCCGCGUGAGGGAUGAAGGCCUUCGGGUUGUAAACCUCUUUCAGUAGGGAAGAAGCGAAAGUGACGGUACCUACAGAAGAAGCACCGGCUAACUAUGUGCCAGCAGCCGCGGUAA